This 292-nucleotide ribosomal RNA is filed under the name uncultured Devosia sp. Its description in RNAcentral is "partial 16S ribosomal RNA". It matches the Rfam family "Bacterial small subunit ribosomal RNA", at positions 505 to 796 of the family's 1533-position model. Lineage: Bacteria; Pseudomonadati; Pseudomonadota; Alphaproteobacteria; Hyphomicrobiales; Devosiaceae. The record is from RNAcentral.
GUGUCAGCAGCCGCGGUAAUACGAAGGGGGCUAGCGUUGCUCGGAAUCACUGGGCGUAAAGGGUGCGUAGGCGGGUCUUUAAGUCGGGGGUGAAAUCCUGGAGCUCAACUCCAGAACUGCCUUCGAUACUGGCGAUCUUGAGUCCGGAAGAGGUGAGUGGAACUCCUAGUGUAGAGGUGGAAUUCGUAGAUAUUAGGAAGAACACCAGUGGCGAAGGCGGCUCACUGGUCCGGUACUGACGCUGAGGUGCGAAAGCGUGGGGAGCAAACAGGAUUAGAUACCCCUGUAGUCC